UACGAGAGGCGCAAACGUUAUUCGGAAUUACUGGGCUUAAAGAGUUCGUAGGCGGCGCAGAAAGUAGGGUGUGAAGGCCCUCGGCUCAACCGAGGAAUUGCGCUCUAAACUACUGUGCUUGAGGGACCUAGAGGUGAGCGGAACUGAUGGUGGAGCGGUGAAAUGCGUUGAUAUCAUCAGGAACACCGGAGGCGAAGGCGGCUCACUGGGGGUCUUCUGACGCUGAGGAACGAAAGCCAGGGGAGCGAACGGG
This 253-nucleotide ribosomal RNA is filed under the name uncultured bacterium. RNAcentral describes it as "partial 16S ribosomal RNA". It matches the Rfam family "Bacterial small subunit ribosomal RNA", at positions 524 to 776 of the family's 1533-position model. The record is from RNAcentral.